Gossypium arboreum is the source of this 319-nucleotide long non-coding RNA. RefSeq lists it as uncharacterized. Lineage: Eukaryota; Viridiplantae; Streptophyta; Magnoliopsida; Malvales; Malvaceae. The record is from RefSeq and is a predicted model, not a curated record. The transcript has 2 exons.
GAUUCAGCUCAAGAAGUUAAAGGAGGAGAAUCAAGCAAAGGCAAAGGAAAGGACAUCGAGUAGCCGAGUUAGAACCGUUUUACCCAACACAAGGUUCCUUUGAUUCAUUUUUGUGUGCUCGGGACCAUCGUCGAAGUCAUCACACCAGCUUGCAACUUUUUGGUAUCUUCUUCCUAGUUGGUCUAAGAGAACAUUUCGGCAUGUAUAGGCUAUUAUGUUUUUUUUGAACUUUGGUAUGUAAAACUUUGGAUAGCCAUGCGAAAAUGGCUUAUAUACGUUUUGAGCAUAAUGUUAUAGUCAUCUUGAAUGUAUAUGUUCA